GUUUCAGGAAAAUGGCUCUUAAUCUUACCAGGACCGUUGCUAAGCAGGGUAUCCGUACCUUCACUCACCAGACAUGGAUCUCAGGGCCUCCAAGGACCCGUAUCGCUUUCCCCGAGAAGGUUGCCCACGGUCUUCUGAUCGCCUCUGGAGUCCUCGCCGGCCCUAUGUGGAUCUUAGCUCACAUCAACGACUAUAAGAAGAGGGAUUAAACAGCCGGAGCCUAGACCAUCCAGAUGAUCGUUAAUGUUUUCUGUUAAUUCGUGAUUUAACGGUCAUAGACUGUUGUGUUACAGAUUAAUUGAUUCCGAUUAAUACUAGUAGUCGACAUGUAUCGUUGUAAAAUAAACAUUAAAACAUAAAA
This is a long non-coding RNA of Eurytemora carolleeae, 361 nucleotides long. RefSeq lists it as uncharacterized. The transcript has 3 exons. The record is from RefSeq and is a predicted model, not a curated record. Lineage: Eukaryota; Metazoa; Arthropoda; Copepoda; Calanoida; Temoridae.